Papaver somniferum (opium poppy) is the source of this 1967-nucleotide long non-coding RNA. RefSeq lists it as uncharacterized. The transcript has 2 exons. Lineage: Eukaryota; Viridiplantae; Streptophyta; Magnoliopsida; Ranunculales; Papaveraceae. The record is from RefSeq and is a predicted model, not a curated record.
CCUUGAUCUAUCUUUAACUAUUCACGGGAUCAAGGAGGAGUUCUUAUCUUACUUCUCAUCCUUAUUUCAUCGAUUAGAGAUCAUGGUUCUGUAGAUCCAUGUGUACAACAACUCUUGGUCAUUCUAGAAAAAGAAAAAAAAUAUCAGACUAAUAUUUAUUGGUAACUCUAUCUCUCUUUGAAAGCUUCUAACUUUAUAACUCUCCGCAAUUAAGAACUCUAGUCUCACCCCUCUCAUCUUCCUUACCUAGAUCAACCUUGCCUCUCUAUCUUGUGACUAAAACAUCCCUUGAACGACCAUCUUCUUGGUUUAUAAAAAGGUCAUUCAUAAUCAACCUUCUGCAUUCAUACCACUACCAUCUUUUACCUCUUUAACCCUAUCCCAGCUUUCAUCAUCUACAUUUUAGCAACCACAGUGGGAGGUGGUUAUUCAGUCACAGUAGAUAAUCAUGGUUUUCAUCAGGGAGGAUAUUGAUUUCCAACCACCAACCAACACAAAAAUAAAAACUCAUAAACCUAGAUCUGAACUUUAAAGGAAGGUUUUUUUGCCGACUUGCAGAAUACUUUCAUAUUAAUGAAAGAACGGGGAUAAUGAGGUGCAUCUUCGCAGCACGCGGACAGCCACACAUCUAUCACAGACAUGUUUAAGAAGAGAAUUCUAUAUUAAUGUCCCUCUCGUUAGUCGAAUGCUCAUCUUCAGUAAAGUAUGAUACUCUAAGUCGCAUAAUCUCGUCCUUCAUAGCAACAUCGUCCGAGUGGUUCCGUUUUUCUGAUACCCACUAUUAAAUCUCGAUAAUAUUGGCUAAAAAUUUAUACAAGCUCCGAAAGACUCAAAACAAUCUUACGAGAGCUCAUUUCGACAUCCUGACUCAUCUGAAGACAUUUGCUAAACAACCAUUGGAGUUAGAUCUUAAAAAUCUAUUAAAUGAGAUUACUUGAAAUUACAAAAUUAUUGAUCUUUACUUUUCUCUCUUUAUCUUUUCCCUUUCUAAAUGAAGACCUUACCCUCCAUUGUCGCCGCCUGCUUAAACCGGCUUCUUUGGAAAUGAUCUGAGCAGUUCUAAUACUUUUUCGAUCUACAACCUCUGAUAAUCUUAAGGUCAUUAUCUGAGCAGCGCGUGCUCCAAGUUUGGUGAUGAGAUUUCCAGCCGGGUCGACAGCUCCGACAAGUUUUCUGGCGAGUUUUUAAUAUUUCGGCCGGUAAAGAUUUUGAUAAAUCACACUAAUUAUAAGAGAUUUGAGAAAAUCACUCAUAUUUUGGGAGACAAACUAAAUGAUUGGAUAGUAAUUCCAGCAAAAAUAAUUCUUCCUCAGAUUUUAAUCGGAUCUUAUUCAUACUUGUAUUUAUGUUACUCUAGUAAUCCUUCUCUUUCUUUUAUCGGAUUUCUCGGUAUUAUACUUUUACGGUAUGUUCUUGUUAAUCUGAAUUCUAUUAUUCUUUAUCUUAAACUAGUUAUAAAAAAAAAGAACUUUGUGUUCCUUGUUUAUAAAAGAACGCGCGAUUAUGGGAUAGAGGAAAAGGAUAAAAACUGGAUUAAAUAUCAAAUCAGGAUCACUCCUUAUCUAAGUAUUUUAUAUAAUUCCUAAUCUACCUCUCACUAAUCAGGUUUAAUGUUUAAUUAUAAUUAGGAAAAAUCUUAAGUAUUUGUUAAAUGAUUAGUGUGUAUUUUUAUUUGUAUUUGGGUGAGUGAUGUGAGAGUAGAAGGAGGGAAAAAGUAUUUGAGAGGGAAUUUUUUUUGGUGAAAUGGAGGAUGAUUGUAAUCAGUGUCUCGUAGAAAUUUUUUCUGGUUUUGAAAUUCAAAACCUAUUCCGUUUUGAUUUUUUCUGGUUUUAAUUAGUCCACUGCCGGCACAGUUAGUUAAUUCUCGAGCAUGCUGGUACUGCUAACGGCAUAAUAUGUUGCUUAAAUUUCUUUGCCGGCACAUGAUGUAAAGUAUCCAGAAAAUUAUAAAAAAUUUCACUUGACUA